This 73-nucleotide transfer RNA is filed under the name Candidatus Aenigmatarchaeota archaeon. RNAcentral's name for it is "tRNA-His". It matches the Rfam family "tRNA". Rfam says of the family: Transfer RNA (tRNA) molecules are approximately 80 nucleotides in length. Their secondary structure includes four short double-helical elements and three loops (D, anti-codon, and T loops). Further hydrogen bonds mediate the characteristic L-shaped molecular structure. tRNAs have two regions of fundamental functional importance: the anti-codon, which is responsible for specific mRNA codon recognition, and the 3' end, to which the tRNAs corresponding amino acid is attached (by aminoacyl-tRNA synthetases). tRNAs cope with the degeneracy of the genetic code in two manners: having more than one tRNA (with a specific anti-codon) for a particular amino acid; and 'wobble' base-pairing, i.e. permitting non-standard base-pairing at the 3rd anti-codon position. Lineage: Archaea; Nanobdellati; Candidatus Aenigmatarchaeota. The record is from RNAcentral.
GCCUGAAUAGCUUAGCCUGGUAGAGUAGGGGCCUGUGGAGCCCCUGACCCGGGUUCAAAUCCCGGUUCGGGCC